GAAAAACAGUGAAGUGAAAUCAUGGUUGGGAGGGGAGUAGCAAGGGAAGCCUUCAAACACAGCUCACCAGUCAGUGAGAUGGAGUGACUCCAAGGCAGUGAAGAGACUCACUCUGUGAAAGAGGCUGAUCUCAAAUGGAGAGAAACUUCUGUAAAGGAGAGAGAGGAGGAGAACAUGCAGAGCUGGGCGAUGACCAAAAUGGGGACCACACUUUCCUCAAAAAAGAAGCAUCAGCAAUUGAAAAUCACACAAAAGUGUCAUUUGGAAUAUCUCCAUGUAAACAUGUACAGUACCGUGCAAAAGUCUUAACUAACACAAAAAUUCACUGAUAUCUUGCUGGAUGGCUAGAUGAGCAUCAUUCCAGUUCCCAAACCUCUCCUCAGCCAUUCCAUGUAUUUGUUACAUUUCACCACCAGCUCACUUAAUUAAUUAAUUGAAUUAGUUUGAAAAAGUCAAUGGCAUAUUAAUUAGCCAUAUGAGGCGUGCUAGGGGUCGAGUCAAAAAACAUGGGUGUAUUAGAUGGCUGCUGUAAAUGCUGUGCUGACUUUAGGAGAUGUUUUGAAAUGGUUAAGCUGACUAACUUAGACAAGCACAAUAGUAUGGUUUUACACCAGCAUGAAGAUCAUUUAAAUAUCACUCUCUUUGGCUGCCUAAGACUUAUGCACAUACUGUAUGGGCAGAGCUGGACAUUCUGGGGGCCGUGAUAAAAUGUCACCUUGGAGUUUUCAAUCUGAAGAAAUAUGGACCCCCUGUGGUAGAAUUUGCCAAGCAGAGGUUCCACAAGCAUAUAAGUUAAUGUUAUUUUUUCUUAUUCGGAGGCACCUAUAAAAUGCUGGGCCCUUUGAACCCGCCAUGGUGUCUAAGCCCCUAUAGCACCCCCUGCCAGCAGGCAUUAUGCAUAGCGUGUGGGAGGUGAGACAGACCCAUGCCUUUCCCUGCAGCAGGGCCACUAGAGAGGAAAUCACAAUCAUCAUAAUUGUAAAUGUAAUCAUAAUAAUAAUUAUAAGAGGAGGAGGAGGAGGAGGAAGAAGAAGAGAACUAGAGACUGGCUUGAGAAAACAGCAUUUCCCUGUUGAUAGACAGGGGGCACGGUUAUGUGCCUGCUGAAGAGAGUCAGCAGUCAGCAGCACGGAGAUGGUGAAGGCGGCUGCUGAUCACUGCUGGCUCAGCUCGCCGCCUCUCAUGGCGCAGGGGACUGUGGUGGUCCCUAGGCCCCCCCUGUCGCCAGUUCGCUACAGAAAAGUCUGUUUACAUAAAAUACUCACCAAAAGUCUUUUAUAA
Non-coding RNA from Paramormyrops kingsleyae, 1281 nucleotides. NCBI's taxonomy places the organism in Eukaryota, Metazoa, Chordata, Actinopteri, Osteoglossiformes, Mormyridae. The record is from RefSeq and is a predicted model, not a curated record.